Molecule: non-coding RNA, 807 nt
Organism: Bemisia tabaci
Lineage: Eukaryota; Metazoa; Arthropoda; Insecta; Hemiptera; Aleyrodidae
Source: RefSeq, a predicted model, not a curated record
GGGUUUUGAUUAAAUGCAUGAGGAAAAAGCACAGACAAUCGUUCGAAGUUGAACUGCGUAGAGUGCCUUCCGACAGUGGUGAUAUCUUACGGUGCACUGGUAAAUCUGUGAUCUUAUUCUCCGAUUCUUCUAACACACACUUAUCUGCACCAGCCUGAAAACUCAAUCAUCCGACUUUCGGUUUUUCCAGCGAGUGCUAUGGCGUUCAAAUUAGCACUUUGGGCCUUCGUAUGCGCGGCCAUUCUCGGACUGGUGUUGUCGGCGCCUGGAGGGGAGACCGGUUCCUGGUGUUACAAGCCCUCGAGGGAAGCAUACUGGGGACACGCUUCCGGAACCUGUUGUCCAGGAAACAUGGGCAGCGAUAGGAGAUGUUACGGCCUCCGCGGGGACAGCGGGAAGUGCACGAAAUUCUACAACUGUUGCAUCCACCAGUUCGGCAGUGGCAACAAGGAGAGUGAUCCCUGCAACUGAGAACUCCCGUCAAAAUGCGAACCCGCAGAGCUCCGAACUCGGAACUCAACUCAAAAUUCGGAACUCAUCUCAGAACUCGGAACUCAACUCAGAACUCGGAACUCAACUCAGCACUCGGAACUCAACUCAGAACUCGGAACUCAACUCAGAACUCGGAACUCAACUCAGAACUCGGAACUCAACUCAGAACUCCCAUGCGCAUGUUGCCGUAUCUGUUGAGAGUUGCCUUGCCGGUUCUCCUUGGCAACAAGCGAAUUCGACGAGCUCCUGCAAGUUUGUUGAAAUGUAAAGUGACAGUCUCAUUCCUUGUUCGGACUGACAGCAACACUUGAAAAA